Molecule: long non-coding RNA, 1349 nt
Filed under: Homo sapiens (human)
Lineage: Eukaryota; Metazoa; Chordata; Mammalia; Primates; Hominidae
Description: novel transcript
Source: RNAcentral
AUAGGCCCUGGGUUGGAGAAGUCAAAACAAAGGUCACCAUGUUGUUCUGAGCCUAAGGGGUCUUUGUGAGAUCUUGCACUACAAACUGCAGCCAAGGGGAUCCCGAAUGGGCAAGACUUGAUCCUCAUACUGGUGAAACCUCCUGAGUCCCCAGGGACCCUGUCAGACCAGGCUCCAGCCUCCCUGCGGUCUCUGAGAGAGAAUGUGGCUAGUUCUGCCCCACGGCUCCCUGGCAGGUACCACGGGCAUCAGGUGUAAUGAGAAGUGACAGGCGCAAUUGCUGGGGGAACAUCCCAGCUUAGAGCUGAAGUUGCCCAGAGUAGCUGGAGGGCUUUUCCAGCUGUCAAGAGGGUCCCCAAACACUUGGAGGCUGCAGUCAGUCUGGUUUUCAGCAUUAGCAUCUCAUUAGCAUGGGCUGAGGCCAACCUGGGGCCCGGUCAACAGCCCAGCUUUGUGUGGAGGGAGGGGAAACCAAGAACCCAGGUGGACAGAGGGGAGGAGUUUAGCAGUCUCACCUUGCUCCCUCGUCCAGUCCAGCGGUCAGAAGUGGCCACGCAGAACCCAACAUUCAGCCUGGGUGCAGACACUGCCUCUAGCCUCCUCCCCAAGCACUCUCCUAGUAUGGCAAAACAGCCCUUGAGAGAUUGCAGAAAGCCAUCAACCUUGAAGAUAACAGGAGCCCUCCCAAGGAAAUGUGUUCAGGAGACCUUCUAAGACCAUGCCAUUUCCUGGGUCCCUCUCCCAGUGGGGAAAUUCUCCCAGUAGCAGAUUCUGGCAGACAGCAGAGACACACUCUAUGCCCAACACUAGGCACCGGAUGGAUGAGAUAAUCAUAAAUCCACAAACUGCAACAAGAUAAAAUUAUCAUUAGAUGAAGUUAAAUUAUUAAUUAGCACCUCCAAAAAAAGACCGGCACCACCUGGGCUUGAAUCUUGGAAGCUGUCUUUCUGAAAGCAAGAGAAACAUCAAAAUAGUUUAUCGAUGCUCUGUGGUGUGGGUAUAGCCUAUGGUUCCCAGAAGCCUGAUGGUCAGAGGUCCCACCAGGCAGGCCUGCCCCGCCUGCCCUCUUCUUGCAGUGUUGCCAGAAAUAGCCAGUUUGGAUAAUGUUACUAGGGAAAGGGAAGCAACUAAUGUGACCCAUUUUUAUGACUGGAGAAACUGAGGCAAAGGACGAGGCAGAAAGGCCACAGAAGAUGGCUCAGGGUGGGCUGAAGAAUUUGUGUACUGGGUUGGGAAGGGGUAGGUCCUCAGAUUGCCUGAUUAUCUAAGGACUAAGGAACACUCAUUCGUUCAGUGCACUGCUAUUUUGUGCUUACUAUGUGCCAGGCACCCGGAAUACAGAGGAAAAA